This is a long non-coding RNA of Lemur catta (Ring-tailed lemur), 841 nucleotides long. RefSeq lists it as uncharacterized. The record is from RefSeq and is a predicted model, not a curated record. Lineage: Eukaryota; Metazoa; Chordata; Mammalia; Primates; Lemuridae. The transcript is spliced from 4 exons.
CCUCAGGCUCCGGGAGCCCGUGGGGUCCCGGCUCUGCGUCCCCGCCCCCUCGGUCCCGCGGGGCCUGGCUCUGCCCGGUCUUUGACUUUGCCGCCGGGGCAGCUUCCCCGGACGCAGCCUCCGCGCUGCCGGGCCGCGAGGCUCCCUCCUCUAAUCCCUAAUCCCCCACUUGGCAGCGCCUCUUCCCGAAGUUUCCUGCCUGUGUCCACAGACGCGACGCCCCCUCGAGCCCCGAACGUAGCUCCAGGAAAUAGAACUGGCAGAAAGAAUAGAUGGAGAACUUUCACUGAACCUUCACUACAAGAGAGGCAGUAGUUUGACGUAGAGGUUAAGCGUGAACUGUGGAGCCAGACUGCCUGGAUUCCAACCCAGCUUCUCCACCUAACUUGCUAUCUUGGCCGUUUGUUUCUGGAGGGCCAAUGAUGCCGACAGCCGUGCAAUGUGCCAGUAUUCCCAGACCGUGCUGGAGCAUCAUGGCGGAGCAUUCCAGUCCUCAGCCUGCUCCUAUGAAGAGGGAAGGAUGGACCCAGCCAUUGAUGCAACCAUGGCUUACUCCGUGGAAACCAAGACAAAGAAAAGACAAAGGAGAAAGAAACAGAAAGCUUGCGGGGAGGUCAAGGUAAAAGUGAGAAGGAGAAUCUUGUUCCACAGUUUGGAGCCUCCUGCCAGUGCGAUCCAGCUGCCUGGCGAGUCCCUCCUGCCUCUGCUGACCGUCAGAUUUCUCUCAUCCUUCCUGUGGUCCCAGGUGAUGAUCUACUAUGAUUUUUACUGCUGCUGCUACUGCUGUUACCACCGCUAGCUACCAUCUCCUGAACGCUUACUUUGAGCUAGGUUCUGUGCU